GGAUGCCCUGACUUUAUCUUUCCUCGGUGCUUUACGUCCUAAUCUUUUUUCCUCUUGUUGUCCGAAGUCAAAGGUUUCAAAGCCAUUGGUCUUUCCAGGCAAAAGGGGUCUGGCAUAAAGUCUUCAACUUCAGCGAGAGGACAGGGUCUCUAACAUUUUGGAAACCAAGCCCAGAGAAGCAAGUUUAUCACGGUAAAUGACAUCGUGUGGUGUAGAAAUGGGCGCAAUAGUUGGCUGCACAUGAUCUUUUGCUUUUAAAAUAACCAUUGUUUCUUACAUGCGGCUAGAAUAUAUGUUAAGCAAUCAGGUUUAGUGAGUGAGGAGAGAACCCAGGACUGUCGAGUUUCACUGUUGUGGUGUUGCGGCCAUGGACAUGAAUGUUGAGGAAUAAACUGGGUUCUUGUUUUUCUUUUAAAA
Populus nigra (black poplar) is the source of this 417-nucleotide long non-coding RNA. RefSeq lists it as uncharacterized. The transcript has 2 exons. NCBI's taxonomy places the organism in Eukaryota, Viridiplantae, Streptophyta, Magnoliopsida, Malpighiales, Salicaceae. The record is from RefSeq and is a predicted model, not a curated record.